CAGCGUGUAGCUCAGCAGAGAGCACCGGGCUGGAGACCCGGAAGGCGCGGGGGCGGUUCCCGCCACGCUGG
RNAcentral lists this transfer RNA (71 nucleotides) under Paractinoplanes ovalisporus. RNAcentral's name for it is "tRNA-Ser". It matches the Rfam family "tRNA". From Rfam's summary of the family: Transfer RNA (tRNA) molecules are approximately 80 nucleotides in length. Their secondary structure includes four short double-helical elements and three loops (D, anti-codon, and T loops). Further hydrogen bonds mediate the characteristic L-shaped molecular structure. tRNAs have two regions of fundamental functional importance: the anti-codon, which is responsible for specific mRNA codon recognition, and the 3' end, to which the tRNAs corresponding amino acid is attached (by aminoacyl-tRNA synthetases). tRNAs cope with the degeneracy of the genetic code in two manners: having more than one tRNA (with a specific anti-codon) for a particular amino acid; and 'wobble' base-pairing, i.e. permitting non-standard base-pairing at the 3rd anti-codon position. The record is from RNAcentral. Lineage: Bacteria; Bacillati; Actinomycetota; Actinomycetes; Micromonosporales; Micromonosporaceae.